UACGGGGGGUGCGAGCGUUGUCCGGAAUCACUGGGCGUAAAGGGCGCGUAGGUGGCGUCGUAAGUCUGUGGUGAAAGCCCGGAGCUCAACUCCGGGUCUGCCGCGGAUACUACGAGGCUUGAGUGCUGUAGAGGGGGGUAGAAUGCCGGGUGUAGCGGUGAAAUGCGUAGAGAUCGGGAGGAACACCAGUGGCGAAGGCGGCUACCUGGACCAGCACUGACACUGAGGCACGAAAGCGUGGGGAGCAAACAGGG
This 254-nucleotide ribosomal RNA is filed under the name uncultured bacterium. Its description in RNAcentral is "partial 16S ribosomal RNA". It matches the Rfam family "Bacterial small subunit ribosomal RNA", at positions 524 to 777 of the family's 1533-position model. The record is from RNAcentral.